This 406-nucleotide unclassified non-coding RNA is filed under the name Hevea brasiliensis (rubber tree). The record is from RNAcentral. Lineage: Eukaryota; Viridiplantae; Streptophyta; Magnoliopsida; Malpighiales; Euphorbiaceae.
GCAAAAUUACAUUCAGGGACUAUUUUUAUGUUUAUAAGCAGCAGAACUGGAAAAUGUUUCAACUUUCAACUAUUUACACCAAAAAAAUAAAAUCUAAAUUCAUUCAUGAGAAGAGAUAAGUGAUUCAUUCAAAUCAUGCAGCUAUGCAGUGUGGUGAUACAUUACUUGUUUCCCUCCCAAUAUAUAUUAUCCUAACCAUACAUCUCACAUCCUCAACUAGAAGUAAAUAUGAAAAAAAAAAAAUUCAUAGAGCAAAAGAAUUCAAUAAAUCCUACUGUUUCAAAAUUCUACAUGAGUUAAAAGGAAAAACAUUACACUGAUGGUGCAUCAGAAAAGGCCUCAAGCAUUUCAUCUUCACAGCUUGCCACACGGAGAAGCUCUUCGUCUUUUUCUUCUUCAUUCAAGA